This is an unclassified non-coding RNA of Macaca mulatta (Rhesus monkey), 148 nucleotides long. It matches the Rfam family "Metazoan signal recognition particle RNA". Rfam says of the family: The signal recognition particle (SRP) is a universally conserved ribonucleoprotein. The record is from Ensembl. Lineage: Eukaryota; Metazoa; Chordata; Mammalia; Primates; Cercopithecidae.
GCUGGGCGUGGUGGUGGGCGCCUGUAAUCCCAGCUACUCGGGAGGCUGAGACAGGAGAAUUGCUUGAACCCAGGAGGCGGAGGUUGCAGUGAGCCGAGAUGGAGCCACUACACUCCAGCCUGGGUAACAGAGCAAGACUCUGACUCAA